RNAcentral lists this long non-coding RNA (1155 nucleotides) under Dermacentor andersoni. Its description in RNAcentral is "uncharacterized LOC126532304". Lineage: Eukaryota; Metazoa; Arthropoda; Arachnida; Ixodida; Ixodidae. The record is from RNAcentral.
ACUUCAACAAUUGGCUUUGAUUACUACAGACAGGCAAGCGGAAGUAGCAAAAAAUUAUUUUAAAAAAUGUUCGUUUGCUGUAAUGGGAUGAAUGGAAUGGAACAGUCCAGCCACUAGGAGUGGGAAUAGUCCCUCUCACUAUUUCAAGGAGUUAAAAGUGAAAUAACAGGGAUCUCCACUUACCAGAGUGGAGAGCCAUACUCUGCAAUUCUGAUAUUCACAAGAGAACAAGAUUACUGAAUAAAAUUUUGGAAAGCAAGUCUUAGUGAAGGUAAACAUGUGGACUGCAGAGGAAACAUUGAAAGGUCCAGCCCAGAUUGUUCUGUUUGCUCUAUUUGCACAAUGUUAAUAAAACUAUGAAGGAAAGUUAAACUGGUCACUUUCGAACAAUUGGUAUUUCGUAUUACAUUUGUGAAAACUAAUUGUAAUCGUUUACUUUUUUCUCUAAUGUGUACAAGUCUGGUGUUUGUCGCCAUCAAGGAAAAAAUAGUGAGGACAGCAUCCUCACAUUGGCAAAUUAAUUUUUGAAAGACCGUUUUCAUUAAAAUAUAUUGCCCGGCAUGUACAUAGGACAAUUGCCGACCGAUAAUUCUGACUCUACAAAGACUGCCGAAAUGUGCGAAAUACCAGAUUCGCCAGAAAAUAAGCCACAUUAUUCCACAAGUGGCCUAAAAAACUAUAUUUUAGCCAGUUUCACAGCGCUAAAGCUGUUACUUUCACUCACUGUAGGAAACCUACGUGUGACCCGGUGAAAGCCCGUCAGUUGUUGCUACAAUUUGGCCAAUUGCGCAUCGGCCGAAUGCCACCCAUCAAGCACAAAGUCUGCUGCCUCUUGUCCUGGACUCAUAUCUUGCAUCACGGGAGCCAUCAUUGCGAUAUCCAGUGCAGGUGAUGCUGGCAGGCAUAGCAGCGGCUUCAAGCCAACUAUAAGCCUCAGCAGCGAACGUUAAACAGAUUUUGCAGCCGAUCUUGCAGCAAAUGGUACCAUGUCCCACACAUGGUGUUUCACUACUAGAUCUUGUAUUGACUGCAAACUCGCAAAGUAUGUUUGUACAUCUCCUUAACUGCAUGAACGACCGCAAUGUUAUCCACUGCGAGCAGUGUCAGUGGUAAACAGCUAGAUUCAUCACAAACAUUGCACAGCAAAACUACUGC